AACGAACGCUGGCGGCAUGCCUAACACAUGCAAGUCGAACGAGACCUUCGGGUCUAGUGGCGCACGGGUGCGUAACGCGUGGGAACCUGCCCUUAGGUUCGGAAUAACUCCCCGAAAGGGGUGCUAAUACCGGAUAAUGUCUUCGGACCAAAGAUUUAUCGCCUUUGGAUGGGCCCGCGUUGGAUUAGCUAGUUGGUAGGGUAAGAGCCUACCAAGGCGAAGGUGCAUAGCUGGUCUGAGAGGAUGAUCGGCCACACUGGGACUGAGACACGGCCCAGACCCCAACCCCAGGCAGGGGUGGGGAGUGGGAAAAAGUGGACGGGGGCGAAAUGCUGAACCGCCCAGGGCGGGAUGACGGGGAAGGGGUUGGGAUUAAAAGUCUCUUUUACCGGGGAGUAAAUGACGGUAACGGGUAAAAAAGCCCCGGCUAACUACGUG
This 438-nucleotide ribosomal RNA is filed under the name uncultured bacterium. Its description in RNAcentral is "partial 16S ribosomal RNA". It matches the Rfam family "Bacterial small subunit ribosomal RNA", at positions 29 to 507 of the family's 1533-position model. The record is from RNAcentral.